Molecule: ribosomal RNA, 254 nt
Filed under: uncultured bacterium
Lineage: Bacteria
Description: partial 16S ribosomal RNA
Rfam family: Bacterial small subunit ribosomal RNA
Source: RNAcentral
AACGUAGGAGGCGAGCGUUAUCCGGAUUCACUGGGCGUAAAGCGUGCGUAGGCGGUUGGGUAAGUCGGACGUUAAAGCCCCUGGCUCAACUAGGGGAGGUCGUUCGAUACUGCUUGGCUUGAGGAUGAUAGAGGAAAGCGGAAUUCCCGGUGUAGCGGUGGAAUGCGUAGAGAUCGGGAGGAACACCAGUGGCGAAAGCGGCUUUCUGGCUCAUUUCUGACGCUGAGUGCACGAAAGCGUGGGGAGCAAACGGG